RNAcentral lists this long non-coding RNA (995 nucleotides) under Gallus gallus (chicken). Its description in RNAcentral is "long non-coding RNA NONGGAT011872". Lineage: Eukaryota; Metazoa; Chordata; Aves; Galliformes; Phasianidae. The record is from RNAcentral.
CAAGAUCACUGUAGAAAGAGGGCAUGAGAAGCUCCAGGUGCAAAGCAGGAGCUCCCUUCAGCCCAGGAGGGGCUUGUGGAGGACCCAUGGGAACCACACAAAACAGACCUCCACAUUCAGCCAGGGAGGAGCCCAUGUUGCAGCAAUGGAUAAGACCUGAAUGAGGUACAGCCCACAGCAGCAGUCCCAGGCUGGAGCCCUGGAGAGGAACCCUCAGUGGGGCAGGAGGGCUGGGGGGAACUGCCACCCAUAGAGACAGUAGUGGAGGAGUGCCUGGAGUGUGGGCCCCAUGGUAUGGAGCUGUGCUGGAUCAGUGUUGGGAGAGCUGCCACCUGAGAAACCCACCUAGUACCAGUUUGGCAAGAAGGUGGUCUUGUGGGAGGAAUCCAUGUGGAGUAGCAGCAGAGUGACCACGAAGGAGCAGGAAAGAAAAAGUGUUAUGGACUAACUGCAACUCCCAUUCUCUUCUUUUUAGCUUGUUUUUAGUUUGUACUGCUCUGGUCUGUUGUGGUUUGGUGAUUUUUUGUUGUCAAUAUUCCACAUCACAUAACCACAUGAACCAGUGGAAGUUAAAGAGUUAACGUUCUGGUUCCGUUUACUGCCUCCGAUGGGCGUUUGAGUAUUCCGAUAGGUGGGGAGGGGUGCCAUUCCCAGAGGACCUGGCGUGGAGAGGAAGCGAGGUGGAGCUCUGGACGGGAGGCCGUCCGUCUCUCUUUCGGGGCAGCUGAGCACGCUGAGGAGAGAGGGCACGUGCUUACCCUGCAUUUUGGUGGAAUCACAAAUACUGGGAAAAAAGGUUGGGAGCCUUCCAACUGUUCAUCAUAAUCAACACAUUCAUGUUGAUCAGAAGGCCACACCUACCCGGACAAAAUUCACAGUCUUGCUGUGAAUCACACCAUGGAGUAAACUCUUCAAAGAGAACGAAGACAGAAUUUCUUUCAUGGAUCAAGGAGGAAAGUGCUAUGACAGUGGAACAACAUUACCAUCAUCCUCAC